AGUUUCCCAUUGAUUACAUGCACCAAGUGUGCUUAGGAGUCAUGAAAAAACUCCUACAAGUAUGGAUAAAGGGGCCGCAGAGGACACGCAUGUCUGCUGGUCAAGUAAAUCAGGUAAGCGAGAGGUUGUUGUCAUUGAGGAAAUCGAUGCCCAGCCCUCCCACCUCCUCCAGAAUACAACAACGGAAACACAAACGAGAGUGAUGACUCGGAGACUCCCGACAAGCUAUCUGAAGACAUGUUUUCCGGGGGAAAACAAUGUGGGCCGGGAAGCCUGGAGUCUCCAGGGUCUCCAGGGAGUCUAGCGUCACUGACAAAUACACUUGUGCAGGUUACUGGUCUAUAUCUCCACUGGCGGGUCCUUCAAAUGAUUUUCAGAGGAAAGUGCUGAUGAAAUUAGAUAUAAUAAUUGAACAGCAACAACAAAUUUUAAAUUUGACCAAGCAAAACAUGCCACCUGUGAACGACACAGACAACGUCCUCGACCAUCCCUGCGAGACCCUGGAGGACCUGGAGAGACUGGAAAAGGAGAUAGAAGACAGGGCAAAAAAACAAAGAAUGACUAUGUACCUGCGCUCACUCGGCGGAGCAAACCUGAAUGCUGCCGUUAGGCGAAUGCUCCGCCGAGUGGGCAACAAUGACCUCUGGUCAACUUUCAGCUUCAAGGGAAGGCUUGGCAAGCGCCCUUUCAGUAAGCUAAGGCUAUGCGAAGCAAUGAUUGGAGCAUGCCAGAAAUUAUUUAAAAUAAAGGCGGACGAAGCAGAAGAUGCCAUUGGCCAGGCGCUUAAGUUGGCACCACACAGGAAAUUAAAGUGAUGGAAGAGGAAAGAGGAAAGGAAACGUAAUGUAAAAUAAAAUCUGUUUUAUGGAUCUCAUGUCAUGUCAUUUACUUGAUAUAGUGGAUAAGGUGUAUGAUAAUUAGUACAAAUUCCAGUGAUAUCUGUGUACAAAUUCAAGUAAUGUCUGUGUUCUACUAAUAGUAGUGGCCUAGUGCUAUAUAUGUAUAUCUAUAGAGCAAUAACUGCAGAUCAGUGGUACAGAUAGGUGGACAAGUGGUAAGGUGAAUUGGAGAAAACAACUCUGCAAAUAUGAAUGAAGCUCCAGGGAAAUGCUGAUAAGUAUUGACAACUCAUGAUGGGUCAAAUUAAUUGAGAACGUACUUAUAAAUAUCUGCCAUUUCCUGUGUGGAAAAUUAAAACUAUCAUUUAUUUGUUUCAGUGUUCAAGACCUUUACAUGGAUCCCUGCGAUGUGCACUUUCAACCUCUAAUGUAAGUUGAUGCUAUUGGAAAGGACAUGAAAAUUAGCACUUUGGUCAGCUGUCACCCAUGGCCCAUGUCUAAACCCACUUGUGACCACACAACAGAGGCCUGCUUUGGUAAAGAAAACGACCAACACAUGGAGUGGAGGCCAGACGUGUCACUGGAUUCUAGAGACCAUAUCAGCUCAGGAGCUGCAUUGAAAGACCCAUCAUCCAAAGGCAGAAGGACUCCCGGAUUCUCUCGAAUUGAAACCAAGUGUCGCCUGAAUAAAUUGU
Molecule: long non-coding RNA, 1534 nt
Organism: Alosa sapidissima (American shad)
Lineage: Eukaryota; Metazoa; Chordata; Actinopteri; Clupeiformes; Clupeidae
Exons: 11
Source: RefSeq, a predicted model, not a curated record